This 440-nucleotide ribosomal RNA is filed under the name uncultured bacterium. RNAcentral's name for it is "partial 16S ribosomal RNA". It matches the Rfam family "Bacterial small subunit ribosomal RNA", at positions 338 to 795 of the family's 1533-position model. The record is from RNAcentral.
CCUACGGGUGGCAGCAGUAGGGAAUAUUGCUCAAUGGGGGAAACCCUGAAGCAGCAACGCCGCGUGGAGGAUGAAGGUUUUCGGAUUGUAAACUCCUUUUGUUAGAGAAGAUAAUGACGGUAUGCAACGACUAAGCACCGGCUAACUCCGUGCCACCAGCCGCGGUAAUACGGAGGGUGCAAGCGUUACUCGGAAUCACUGGGCGUAAAGAGCGCGUAGGCGGGAUAGCAAGUCAGAGGUGAAAUCCUAUGGCUUAACCAUAGAACUGCAUUUGAAACUGUUAGUCUAGAGUAUGGGAGAGGUAGGUGGAAUGCUUGGUGUAGGGGUAAAAUCCGUAGAGAUCGAGCAGAAUACUGAUUGCGAAGGCGACCUGCUAGAACAAAACUGACGCUGAUGCGCGAAAGCGUGGGGAGCGAACAGGAUUAGAUACCCCAGUAGUC